CCUACGGGAGGCAGCAGUAAGGAAUAUUGGUCAAUGGGCGGAAGCCUGAACCAGCCAUGCCGCGUGCAGGAAGACGGGCUCUGCAUUGUAAACUGCUUUUAUACCAGAAUAUGUAUGGUAAGAAUAAGGAUCGGCUAACUCCGUGCCAGCAGCCGCGGUAAUACGGAGGAUCCAAGCGUUAUCCGGAUUUAUUGGGUUUAAAGGGUGCGUAGGCGGCUUUUUAAGUCAGGGGUGAAAGACGGUGGCUCAACCAUCGCAGUGCCUUUGAUACUGAAGAGCUUGAUUAAACUUGAGGUAGGCGGAAUGUGACAAGUAGCGGUGAAAUGCAUAGAUAUGUCACAGAACACCGAUUGCGAAGGCAGCUUACUAAGUUCAAUGACGCUGAGGCACGAAAGCGUGGGGAUCAAACAGGAUUAGAUACCCUUGUAGUC
Molecule: ribosomal RNA, 431 nt
Filed under: uncultured bacterium
Lineage: Bacteria
Description: partial 16S ribosomal RNA
Rfam family: Bacterial small subunit ribosomal RNA
Source: RNAcentral